RNAcentral lists this ribosomal RNA (462 nucleotides) under Triticum aestivum (bread wheat). Its description in RNAcentral is "partial small subunit ribosomal RNA". Lineage: Eukaryota; Viridiplantae; Streptophyta; Magnoliopsida; Poales; Poaceae. The record is from RNAcentral.
AUGGCCAACAGCAACCUUCCUCGACGAAUCAUCAAGGAGACGCAGAGACUUCUCAGCGAGCCAGCACCGGGGAUCAGCGCUUCGCCCUCGGAGGAGAACAUGCGGUACUUCAACGUCAUGAUCCUUGGUCCGGCGCAGUCACCCUACGAAGGGGGAGUUUUUAAGCUGGAACUCUUUUUACCCGAGGAAUAUCCGAUGGCUGCCCCAAAGGUUAGGUUUCUGACCAAAAUAUACCAUCCCAACAUUGACAAGCUUGGUAGGAUAUGCCUUGACAUUCUCAAGGAUAAAUGGAGUCCGGCUCUUCAGAUUCGAACAGUUCUUUUGAGUAUCCAGGCACUCCUAAGUGCACCAAAUCCAGAUGACCCUCUCUCUGAAAACAUUGCUAAGCACUGGAAGUCCAAUGAGGCAGAAGCUGUUGAAACAGCGAAGGAGUGGACUCGUCUGUAUGCCAGUGGUGCAUGA